RNAcentral lists this ribosomal RNA (496 nucleotides) under uncultured bacterium. RNAcentral describes it as "partial 16S ribosomal RNA". It matches the Rfam family "Bacterial small subunit ribosomal RNA", at positions 28 to 507 of the family's 1533-position model. The record is from RNAcentral.
GAUGAACGCUGGCGGCGUGCCUAAUACAUGCAAGUCGAGCGAACGGACGAGAAGCUUGCUUUUCUGAUGUUAGCGGCGGACGGGUGAGUAACACGUGGAUAACCUACCUAUAAGACUGGGAUAACUUCGGGAAACCGGAGCUAAUACCGGAUAAUAUUUUGAACCGCAUGGUUCAAAAGUGAAAGACGGUCUUGCUGUCACUUAUAGAUGGAUCCGCGCUGCAUUAGCUAGUUGGUAAGGUAACGGCUUACCAAGGCAACGAUGCAUAGCCGACCUGAGAGGGGGUUGGGCCACAGUGAACGGGAAAGCCGGCCCGGGCACUAAGGGAGGGCGCAGGAGGGAAUGUUACGCAAAGGGGGGAAAGCUGGCGGAAGCACCGCGCGGGGGGGGUAGAGGUGUUGGGGUAGGAAAAACGUUUUUUUAGGGGAAAACCAAUGUGGAAAGAAACGUGGCCCAAGUGAAGGUACCUAAACAAGAAGCCCCGGCCAAAUACGUG